Long non-coding RNA from Raphanus sativus (radish), 867 nucleotides. RefSeq lists it as uncharacterized. The record is from RefSeq and is a predicted model, not a curated record. Lineage: Eukaryota; Viridiplantae; Streptophyta; Magnoliopsida; Brassicales; Brassicaceae. The transcript has 2 exons.
AUUAUCAUUGAGACAUUGACCAAUAAUACAACACUACGCGGAUCACAAACAUUUACCAUUGGAUUAGAUUUAAUCCAACGGACUAAAUCUAACAAUACUUUCUCUCUCUCUCUCUUUUUCUCUGUGUCGUAGACUCUUUGCCUAUCUCUUUGUCUUCGUUUUUUUUCUUUCUGAAAACUCAUCUCUCCAUAGAUUUUCUUUCGAUAUCUAUUAACAAAAUCAAAACUUGUUUCAUUCUUCCUCAUUCAUCUUCUUCAUAUUUUUCUCAAUCUAAACAUAUUCUUCAAGCCAUGGCUGUAGGAAGACAUGACAACGACGCUAGAUCUGUCUCUUCGUUACUUCUCCUUUUACUUCUCCGUCCAUUGCCGACUCGGUUUCCCAUCCCCAAAUCCAAUCAAGGAUGGUGGUCUUAUGAAGUACCUAAGUGUUACUCGUCCUCUGUUUUUUCUGUGGUGAUGCGGGGACUAGGUGAUGCAACGACAACAUUCUGGAGGCGGCUUCUCUGGAGGCUGGAGGCUAGAGGCUAGAGGCGGAGGAUUAGGGUUGCAGGUGGAGGCUGUGCUGGUGUAGAUGUGCGGAGCAAGAAUAAAAAGAGAAGAGGGAGAAGAUAAGAGACGUAAGGAAGACGAAGAAGCUGGAAGAGGAAGGUGACGACAGAGCGGCGUAGAUUAGGUUUAGUUUUGUUUGGUUUAUUAGGUUUGGUUUAGAUAGGGUUAGUUAAUAAACCGGGUUUGUUUGUAAACCAAUAUUAAGAAAUAAACCGAUAUUAACUAUAAACCAAUUAUUUGUUUUUUUUUUCAUCAAACCAAUUAUUUGUAUACUGAUAUUGAUUAAUAAAUAAAAAUUUAAUUUUUAAUUAUGAAAGAA